This 457-nucleotide ribosomal RNA is filed under the name uncultured bacterium. Its description in RNAcentral is "bacterial SSU rRNA". It matches the Rfam family "Bacterial small subunit ribosomal RNA", at positions 340 to 786 of the family's 1533-position model. The record is from RNAcentral.
UACGGGAGGCAGCAGGUGGGGAAUAUUGCACAAUGGGCGAAAGCCUGAUGCAGCUAUGCCGCGUGUAUGAAGAAGGCCUUAGGGUUGUAAAGUACUUUCAUCGGGGAGGAAAAAACAAAACUAAUAAUUUUAUUUCUUGACGUUACCCGAAAAAGAAGCACCGGCUAACUCCGUGCCAGCAGCCGCGGUAAUACGGAGGGUGCUAGCGUUAAUCAGAAUUACUGGGCGUAAAGAGCACGUAGGUGGUUUUUUUAAGUCAGAUGUGAAAUCCCUGGGCUUAACCUAGGAACUGCAUUUUGAAACUGAAAUACUAGAGUAUCGUAGAGGGAGGUAGAAUUCUAGGUGUAGCGGUGAAAUGCGUAGAUAUCUGGAGGAAUACCUGUGGCGAAAGCGGCCUCCUAAACGAAUACUGACACUGAGGUGCGAAAGCGUGGGGAGCAAACAGGGAUUAGAUACC